GGUAGGGUAUGUCAUAUGUGUUCGGCGUUUGCGACUGGCGUAGGAGAAGAAUUCCUCCGGAGCCCUCGACUGAUCUCUCGCGAUCUCCCUCGCCCUCUCCUCCUGAUCUCCUCCCUCGCGAAGAACAACGAUUCGCCGAUAUCCUCAAUUCAUCGAUCUCCUCGAUUCGCCUUUCUCCUCCCUCGCGAAGCCCUCGCAAAGAACACCUCCAUAAAAAUCUGAAAUUUCUUCCUUCUUUCAGUUGCCAAACAUCCCCUACUCAUUUCUGCAUAAGAAAGGAAACCAGUGAGUCAAAAAAUUAGUAAGUCACGAAACUCAUCUUCUCCUUUCGGCUUCCUCUCUCCAAUAAGAAACCCUCGAACCUUCACACGUCGAUCACCCCGAAGAAGGCUUCACCAGUGAAAACAUGGAGUUUAAGUUAGAAGCAAAGUGGCGGAAGGCGAUGGUUUCUGGUAUCAUUUGUUGUUGCAACUCAGGUAGUUAACAACGUUCAUGGUCAAGUUCGAGGUCGAGAUCGAGGGAGAUCAAGAAAGACAUGAAGUUGACAACAAGCACAAAAAUUACAGUUGUUGGUUUUGGCAAAUAAUCAGUCUCCUGUGCAUUCAUACUGCCUAUUUCAUCAGCACAAAAUGGCAAACAACAUGGCAUACUUAUGUGGAUGAGUAUUAUCAUUCAACCAGAAUGGCCUAUGAUAGUGCAAUCUCUUCCAUCCCGGGAAAGAGCAAAUGGAUUGCACCUAACGAUGAGGUACAUAUAAUGCCACCAUAAUCAUGUAAGCCUAGAGGUAGGCCAAAGAAAAGGAGAAUAUGAAGUUUUAUGGAGAAUCAAAGUAAAAAAAAAAGAGUAAAAUUGCUCACAAAUGUGGCCAUUGCGGUGGUUGGGAGAAUCACAAAACCACUUACAAUAAUCCAAUUAGCCAAUAAAGCAUAGUUUCCCUGAUGUUGAUACAACCUCAUGCAUCUCUAAUUUUACGUAUGUUGAUAAGGGCUCAAGGACAAAACUUCCAGUACGCCGACAGUGAUUGGAUGACACUGACGGAGUUUACAUUGAUGAAGAACAGUUAAAAGUGAAGCGCACAUGAUAUUUUCUUAUUAAUUUUUUUUAUCACAGUUUUACUAAGCAAUGCUAUGAAAUAAUAUCACUCUUAUUAUGUUGGAAUUGAUAAACAUGCGUUAACAAAAAUUGCAUAAAAUAAGAUACCAAUAUUUUUUGGAACGUGUGACAUAAUUAUGUUUAUGGAGAAUGUGGCUUUUGGUUUACAAUGAACUUUUGAAUUUAAACAUAUACCACAUCUUUUUAGAGUUUCAUUAUCCAUAUUAAGCUCCUGAUAUGCAUUGCAAGAAUGAGAUCUUACAUCCAGUGGUUUUUUUUAUAUUCAACUUAUUUAAAGUUUCGAUUU
Molecule: long non-coding RNA, 1399 nt
Organism: Phalaenopsis equestris
Lineage: Eukaryota; Viridiplantae; Streptophyta; Magnoliopsida; Asparagales; Orchidaceae
Exons: 3
Source: RefSeq, a predicted model, not a curated record